GGUGGAUUGCUUGAGGUCAGGAGUUUGAGACCAGCCUGGCCAACAUGGUGAAACCCUGUCUCUACUAAAAAUACAAAAAUUAGCUGGGUGCGAUGGCGCAUGCCUGUAGUCCCAGCUAUGUCAGGAAAUCGAGGCACGAGAAUUGCUUGAACCUAGGAGGUGGAGGUUGCAGUGGGCCGAUCAUGCCAGAGCACUCCAGCCUGGGCAACAGGGUGAGACCCUGUCUUAAAAAAAAGACCUUCAUCUUCUGUAUCUACUUUAUCACCUGGCAUCGUCUCACCUCCUCCAACUUCUCCACACCAUUAAUGAUCUCCCCCUCCUCUGUACUCCUAGGGGGUUCAGAAGCUCUGGGCACCAUUUAAAUAGUUCUCUGUGUUCUAUCGACGUCUGGUGCAAUGGAGAAGUCAGGAGAUGGUGCUUGAAUCCUGACUCUGUCACAGGCUGGCUGUGUGACCCUGCGAAAGCCACUUCUGUACUCUGAGCCUAGUUGCUCACUUGUAAAAUGAGGAGGUGGAAGCUAUGAUUGCCAGGGUCUCUCUAAUUUCUGACGUGUCCCAAUAAGAGGACAAACUGGUGGGGAAAGAAAGCAAUUUCAGUCAAGCAGAAACACAUGCUUGCCUUUCCUCACCCAGAAUGUGCUUUACAUAACCGAAUUUGCUUCCUUUUUUACUGGCUUGCCCUCCAGUCAGGAGGCAGGGGAGCAGCACGGCUGGCAGCAGCUUGGAGAGGGUGCGUGUACAGGGAUGGAUGUGGGGAGGGGAUGCUGAGGGAGGCUUUGUUGGCGAGUGAAUGAGGUACAGGCACCAAGAACUACUAGAAUUUUGUCACACUUCUUAUUACUGUGAUUAUGUUAUAUUAGAACGAAAAGACGCAGGGUAUUUAAAGUACAAAAACCUAGAGAAGAACUACUAAGGAACUUCUAGUCCCAUGAUUAUUCUAGAUAAAGCAUUCAGAAACUUUAGCUAUGCAAAUUAGAUUCGUUUUUGAAGAAAAUACUUACAUAUUAAGAAUUUUACAGCUGGGUGCGGCGGCUCACACCUGUAAUCCCAGCACUUUGGGAGGCCGAGAGGAAGGGGGUGAAUCACCUAAGGUUGGGAGUUCAAGACCAGCCUGGCCAACAUGGUGAAACCCCAUCUCUACUAAAAAUACAAAAAUUAGCCAGGCGUGGUAGAACGUGCCUGUAGUCCCAGCUAUUGGGAAGGCUGAGGCGUGAGAUUCACUUGAACCCAGCAGGCGGAGGUUGUAGUGAGCCGAGAUCGUGCGACUGUCCUCCAGCGUGGGUGACAGAGUGCGACUCUGUCUCAAAAAAAAAAAAAAAAAAAAAAAAAA
This 1329-nucleotide long non-coding RNA is filed under the name Macaca mulatta (Rhesus monkey). RNAcentral's name for it is "lncRNA (ENSMMUG00000056488.1)". Lineage: Eukaryota; Metazoa; Chordata; Mammalia; Primates; Cercopithecidae. The record is from RNAcentral.